This 425-nucleotide ribosomal RNA is filed under the name uncultured bacterium. Its description in RNAcentral is "partial 16S ribosomal RNA". It matches the Rfam family "Bacterial small subunit ribosomal RNA", at positions 354 to 796 of the family's 1533-position model. The record is from RNAcentral.
GUGAGGAAUUUUGCGCAAUGGGGGCAACCCUGACGCAGCGACGCCGCGUGGAGGACGAAGUCUUUCGGGAUGUAAACUCCUGUCAGUGGGGACGAUAAUGACGGUACCCACAGAGGAAGCACCGGCUAACUCCGUGCCAGCAGCCGCGGUAAGACGGAGGGUGCAAGCGUUGUUCGGAAUUACUGGGCGUAAAGCGUACGUAGGCGGCAAGUUAAGUUCAAUGUUAAAGCCCACGGCUCAACCGAGGAGAUGCAUUGAAUACUGGCUAGCUAGAGGGUGUUAGAGGAAGACGGAAUUCCCAGUGUAGCGGUGAAAUGCGUAGAUAUUGGGAGGAACAUCGGUAGCGAAAGCGGUCUUCUGGGACACACCUGACGCUGAGGUACGAAAGCGUGGGGAGCAAACGGGAUUAGAAACCCGUGUAGUCC